RNAcentral lists this long non-coding RNA (4035 nucleotides) under Sus scrofa (pig). RNAcentral describes it as "lncRNA (ENSSSCG00015060961.1)". Lineage: Eukaryota; Metazoa; Chordata; Mammalia; Artiodactyla; Suidae. The record is from RNAcentral.
GUCUUUGCCUGCCAGGGAAGGGAGAUGAAACUGGAAUAAGCUACUGGUGACAUUAUGAUGGGGGUGUUUUAGGAGUGAUGUAUUGCAACCUCCACUUGGAGGUGGGAAGUCCUGUGUCUUAAGCCCAAAUGGAAAACACACUAGUGUUUAUGAGUUGCUGUAAGCCUCAAGCUUUCCAGCAGUAAUGAGCCUUAGUUGAGUUUAAGCUCCUGCUAAAGGGGAGGUGAGCCGAGGCAGGAAAAGAAUUGCCAGGAGAUGGCUCCCACGGAACUGUUACCCGGCCCAGGGUCAGGAUCAUGCAGCAGAUAAGAUAGGCAAGGAGUGUGUCACUUACUGCUGGUUUGAUUGGGUUCAGCCGUAUUCUUGGGUUAUGGUGUUCACAUCACAGCCUGCACAGGGAGACAUUUAUGCCUUUGAGUUGUGAUAGCCUGUUCACUUCUGUGUCCCUGAGCCAAACUGCAAGCUCCAUGAGACUGGGGGUGGUGUCUAUAGCUGGCAGCACUCGGUUAUAGGCUGAGUGAACGUGGGAGGCCAGGGCGCAGUCCAGGCACCCAGUGGAGUCAGCUGGCUUGGCUUUCUUCCAGGUGCUGCACAGCUGAGCCCAGCGGAGGUGGGGUGGAGGGUGGCAUUCCUAGGGCACUGCAUGGCACUGGGGGACAGUGGAAGAGCAAAACUAUUCCUCCCUCCUGCAGGUUGAACAAAGCUGCUCCAGCAUGUGCCUCCUCAAAUGAAGACAAUGAAUGACACUCUUGGCUCUCCUGUAGAGGAGGUAAAGCUAUGGUCGUGGCCUCAAGCGCCAGCAGUAAUGGGACCUCUGGGUUAGUGUGUAUAGUAGCUCAAACCUUCCAAGUUCAAAGAAAACAAAAGUCCUGCAUACAUUUCAGGCAAAAAAGAAAGUCCCCAGGUGUACAGGACCACGAGCCCAGAAAUGUCACCUUCAGAUCACAAGGAGUGGCUCAGGGGAAACAAACCUGACUAGCACCCAUGAGGACUUGGGUUCAAUCCCUGGCCUCACUCAGUGGGUUAAGGAUCCAGUGCUGUCAUGAGCUGCAGUGUAGGUCAUGGAUGUGGCUUGGAUCUGGUGUUGCUGUGGCUGUGGUGUAGGCUGGCAGCUGCAACUCUGAUUCAGCCCCUAGCCUGGGAACUUCCAUAUGUCAUGGGUGAGGCCCUAAAAAGACAAAAACAAACAGACCUGUCCAGUGGGUCAAUUGUCCCAUCCUCCCAAGGGGCAGAUAAUUUAUAAGAGGACAAGUGUUGGGUAAAUGGCCACUGUUCAAGGCAAUGGACUAAAUGGGGCUGUUGUAAGGUGAGUACGUGUCUAGCACCUGGAAUCUUUUUUUAAUGGUCACACCUGGGUCAUACGUAAGUUCUAGAGCCUGGGAUUGAAUCCAAGCUACAGCUGUGACCUGCAUUGGCAAUGCCAUAUCCUCUGACCUACUGUUCCGGGCCAGGGAUCAAACCUUCACCUCUGCAGAGACCUGAGCUGCUGCAGUUAGAUUCUUAACCCACUGUACCAGCACCACGGCAGGGACUCCUGGAGUCAUUUUUUUAAGCCUUAGGUUCAGCCAGGUAGACACCUGUGGUUAUGACUGGGAUUGGUGCUACUUGGUUGAAAAUGUUUAUGGCAUGUUUCCUAUGGACCAAAAACAGCAGCAUACCUCCCUAAGCAAAGAACCCUUCUGCUCAUAAAUCCUCUCCCUCCACCCACCAGGCCUGCCAGAUCCUUGUCCCAGAGCACAGGCCCUGUCACAGCCUCCAGGGUUCAGAGACACGGAGCAGUUCUAGACUGACUGACACGCGUUCCUCCACGUGCUUGUGCAUCUUCCCUGGUCCCUGGGGAUCCAAGCAAUCUCCCCAUAAUGUGAAGCUUUAGUGAAAUGGAAAUAUAGCUGUACUCCAAACCCCCAAGGCUCUUGGCUCCAUCCCAUGACUCAGUAGUGCCUGAACUUUGGCAAUUUGAAGUAAAACUUCAGAAACAUAUUAGGGGAGUUCCCUGGUGGCUCAGUGGGUUAAGGAUCCAGGGUCGUCAUUGUUGUGACUCUGGUUACAGCUGUGGCUUGGGUUUAACCCCUGGCCCAGGAACUGCCACAAGCCUCAGCCAAAAAAACCCCAAGAAAGAAACAACAGAAUGUAUUUGGCACUGUCAUCAGUUUGCCAACUUUCUCCUUUGCAAGACCAGACACUGAAAACUUAGACGUUGUCUCCAUUAUUCACUUCUCUUCUGACCAGCAAUAACCCCACUAAGCAAGGCUGGGGGCACACUGCCCUGCUUACAGCAUGUGGUCCUCAAACUAAAGCAUGUGUAAGAAGCAUCUGGAAAGUUAAGACCAGUGUCUGGGUCCAGCCCUCCAUCCCGAUAGUGCUGGUCUUGGGUGGAGGUUGGGGUUCUGCUUUUCUUUCUUCAUUUUUUUUUCGGGGGGGGGGUCUUUUUAGGGCCGCACCCAUGACAUGGGUAAGUUCCCAGGCUAGAGGUCGAAUCAGAGCUGUAGCCACCAGCCUACGCCACAGACACACUGCAACACAUAUCCAAGCUGCAUCCGUGACCUACACCACAGCUUGUGGCAAAACCAGAUCCUUAACCCACUGAAUGAGGCUAGGGAUUGAACUGCAUCCUCAUAGAUACUAUUUGAGUUCUUAACUUGCUGAGCUACAGUGAGAACUCCAGGGUUCUGCUUUUCUAAUGGGCUCCCAGGUGGUCUUCAGCAGAGACCAGUCUUUGAGUAGCACUGGCUUCAAGGUUCUCUGAACUUCUCCUACUUUUCAAGGUGCAACCCCGAUGCCCCUUUCAUGAAGCCUCCUUAAGCCAUCCUUAGUAGAGAAUAAUUUCUCACCUAGAAAAAUUCUUGGAGUCCCUGUCAUGGCUCAGUGUGGUAAUGAACCUGACUAGAAUCCAUGAGGAUGUGGGUUCCAUCCCUGGCCUCGCUCAGUGGAUUAAGGAUCCAGGGCUGCCGUGAGCUAUGUCGUAGGCCAAGAGCUACAGCUCUGAUUAGACCCCUUGCCUGGGAACUUCCAUAUGCCUCCGGUACACCCAAAAAAGACAAAAAAGUACAAAAAUGGAGUUCCCAGAGUUCCCUCAUGGCUCAGUGUGAAACCAAGCAGGCCCCAUGGGGCUCCUGGGCAUAAGCCUGCGUCCCUCAGUUCUUAUUUUUAAGGAAUAAGCUUCAGCCUCCAGGACCUUCCCUGAGUUCCAAAGGGCAGGCUCACCCAGUUGCUAAUGAAGGAAGGGAGGGGAUGCAGAGACUAGGGAGGAACAGUCUAGAAACAAUGGUACAGCCUUGGGGCAGGGUCCUGGCUCCUCCUCAGUGAAUAUACAGUAUCUUUGAGAUCUUCUGCAGAAUGAAAUGUCCCAACAAAUGAAAACCAGAGAGGAGGACCACCAGAACCAGUCCUGGGGCCACUAAACACCGGGCUUUGAAGAAUGAAAGCUUACAUCUAAACUAUUUCAUUUAGAAUGGAUAAGCAACAGGUCCUGCUGUACAGCACAGGCAACUGUAUCUAAUCACUUGUGCUAGAACAUGAUAGAAGAUAAUAUGGAUGCUAGUCGGGUUCGUUAACCACUGAGCCACAUGGGAACUGAUAGAAGAUAAUACAAGAAAAAGAAUGUAUAGAUAUGUAUGCCCGGGUCACUUUGCUGUACAGCAAAAAUUGAAAGAACAUUGUAGGAGUUCCCGUUGUGGUGCAGUGGUUAACAAAUCCGACUAGGAACCAUGAGGUUUCGGGUUCAAUCCCUGGCCUUGCUCAGUGGGUUAAGGAUCUGGCAUUUCUGUGGCUGUGGCAUAGGCCGGCGGCUCCAGCUCCAAUUCGACCCCUAGCCUGGGAACCUCCAUAUGCCGUGAGUGUGGCCCUAAAAAGCAAAAAGACAAAAGAAAGAAAGAACAUUGUAAAUCAACUAUAAUAAAAAAAAUUUUAAAAACUUGAAUCUACCCUGACCUUCUCUGUGGCCCUAUUUUCCACCUCCUGUUCUCUCCCAAAGGAAGGCACCCAUGUGGCCUCCUUUGCUUGGCAAAGCAAUAAAGUAGUUUUUUUUUUCUCCAC